Molecule: transfer RNA, 64 nt
Filed under: Psimada quadripennis
Lineage: Eukaryota; Metazoa; Arthropoda; Insecta; Lepidoptera; Erebidae
Also listed under: 1 other name
Description: tRNA-Thr
Rfam family: tRNA
About the family: Transfer RNA (tRNA) molecules are approximately 80 nucleotides in length.
Source: RNAcentral
GUUUUUAUAGUUUAAAAAAAAUAUUGGUCUUGUAAACCAAAGUUAAAUUAUUAUUUUAAAAACU